CGCACUUUUAACGUGUUUUAAGGCGACAAUUUCCAUAAAAAUAUAAUAAGAAACAAGAUGUCUGCAAAGGUUUUCCUGAUUAUAUGCGUCGUGGCAGUCCUGAUUGCAGUGUCCUGCGGACAGAAUGAGACUACAGAUUCUACUACGAAAUGCUCUGGCUUCGGUGCGCCGUGCAACACCACUGAGGAUUGCUGCCGAAGAUUCAAAUGUCAACCUCAGUUUCAGUUAUUGUUUCCAACAUCAACUACACGUAAUGUGUGUAUGAUUGCAUUUUGAAUCUGAAUACUUCAUUCGCCAUUGUAUGCUUUUACUGUCUUUUUCAAUUGUUGUGUAUUUAUAUUAUGUUUCAGUGUACAAUAAAGUGUUUAAAUAAAUUCUUAUUAAAGGAAAUGAAAUAUAGUUACCUACAUUAAUAUUACUAGAGCAUAUUGUUUCAUUGAGAUUACCUAUCUAUAACUUAGUCUUGAUAUUUUAAGUAGGUGUUUUCGUCGAUCGUUUUUUGAUCAUAAAUCAUUAACUUAAAAAGUAAAAUUAACCAAAUGUAAUAACACAAAAUCAAUAUUUUACUGAUGUAUUUAUUUUGUUAGGUUAUUCUACCUAUAAUUUUACUACUGCUCUUAUCAUUUGAAUAAGUACCUACCUAACAAAUUUUUCAUAGAAAUGUAUAUGGACUUUUCCAAGUUUCACUGUAAUUAUCUGUGACUAACCUGAAUUACAUACAUUGAUUAGUAAUUUAUCGUGAAUUAGCAAUUUAAUAUGGAACACUGUGCAUUUUUUAAUUACCAUAGUUUAUAUACUCUGCAUAAAAAUACAAUUCCUUAUUAAGAUUUCAGAUAUACGUUUUCAACUUGCUUAUUCAAAAGUAGGUAUUAUAUUUUCAAAUAUUAUAAAAUCAUUUUUAGUGUAAUACCGGUACUUAGCCGAUUUUUUACUGCAGCUAAUAAGAUGACAGUGAAGGUGUUUCUGAUUAUGGCACUCCUGAUGGGAGCAUGCUACAGUGACGACGAUGAGUCUGACUAUGAGUCGCUGAUGCCAUGGAAUUCUGGUACAGGGAAAUGCUCACACUUCGGUAUGCCGUGCAACACAACUCAGCCAUGCUGCCCAUUACUAACCUGUCGACGUCAAUUUUUGCCAAUGUUUCGUAAAGAUAUAAAUGCGAAAAAAUGCCUGCCGUAAAUGGGAUACCUACUUAGGAAUGGGAAGGAAAACUGGAAAAAUAAUCUUCAAUGCUUUUUAAAUACUUAUAAUUUAUGUAUGUAGGUAUGCCUCUAUCGCUUUAUACAGGUUGUUGCAGAAAGGGUAACUAAGCCGAAACCCACAUGUGCAGCAUGG
Molecule: long non-coding RNA, 1332 nt
Organism: Plutella xylostella (diamondback moth)
Lineage: Eukaryota; Metazoa; Arthropoda; Insecta; Lepidoptera; Plutellidae
Source: RefSeq, a predicted model, not a curated record